UACGGAGGGGGCAAGCGUUGUUCGGAAUCAUUGGGCGUAAAGGGCGCGUAGGCGGCCGUCCAAGUCGGGUGUGAAAUCCCUCGGCUCAACCGAGGAACUGCACUCGAUACUGGUCGGCUAGAGUCCGGGAGGGGAUGGUGGAAUUCCCAGUGUAGCGGUGAAAUGCGUAGAUAUUGGGAAGAACACCGGUGGCGAAGGCGGCCAUCUGGACCGGAACUGACGCUGAGGCGCGAAAGCGUGGGGAGCAAACAGG
RNAcentral lists this ribosomal RNA (253 nucleotides) under uncultured bacterium. RNAcentral's name for it is "partial 16S ribosomal RNA". It matches the Rfam family "Bacterial small subunit ribosomal RNA", at positions 524 to 776 of the family's 1533-position model. The record is from RNAcentral.